GGUUACUGCUAUCGGUGUUCGCCUAAGCCAUGCGAGUCAUAUGUUCGUAAGAACAUGGCGUACUGCUCAGUAACACGUGGAUAACCUGCCCUUGGGUCCGGCAUAACCACGGGAAACUGGGGAUAAUUCCGGAUAACGCACAUAUGCUGGAAUGCUUUAUGCGUAAAAUGGAUUCGUCUGCCCAAGGAUGGGUCUGCGGCCUAUCAGGUAGUAGUGGGUGUAAUGUACCUACUAGCCUACGACGGGUACGGGUUGUGAGAGCAAGAGCCCGGAGAUGGAUUCUGAGACAUGAAUCCAGGCCCUACGGGGCGCAGCAGGCGCGAAAACUUUACAAUGCGGGAAACCGUGAUAAGGGGACACCGAGUGCCAGCAUCCUAUGCUGGCUGUCCGGGUGUGUAAAAUACACCUGUUAGCAAGGGCCGGGCAAGACCGGUGCCAGCCACCGCGGUAACACCGGCGGCCCGAGUGGUGAUCGUGAUUAUUGGGUCUAAAGGGUCCGUAGCCGGUUUGGUCAGUCCUCCGGGAAAUCUGACAGCUUAACUGUUAGGCUUUCGGAGGAUACUGCCAGACUUGGAACCGGGAGAGGUAAGAGGUACUACAGGGGUAGGAGUGAAAUCUUGUAAUCCCUGUGGGACCACCUGUGGCGAAGGCGUCUUACCAGAACGGGUUCGACGGUGAGGGACGAAAGCUGGGGGCACGAACCGGAUUAGAUGCCCGGGUAGUCCCAGCCGUAAACGAUGCUCGCUAGGUGUCAGGCACGGCGCGACCGUGUCUGGUGCCGCAGGGAAGCCGUGAAGCGAGCCACCUGGGAAGUACGGCCGCAAGGCUGAAACUUAA
Molecule: ribosomal RNA, 837 nt
Filed under: uncultured archaeon
Lineage: Archaea
Description: bacterial SSU rRNA
Rfam family: Archaeal small subunit ribosomal RNA
Source: RNAcentral